RNAcentral lists this ribosomal RNA (200 nucleotides) under uncultured bacterium. RNAcentral describes it as "partial 16S ribosomal RNA". It matches the Rfam family "Bacterial small subunit ribosomal RNA", at positions 8 to 207 of the family's 1533-position model. The record is from RNAcentral.
AGAGUUUGAUCAUGGCUCAGGACGAACGCUGGCGGCGUGCCUAACACAUGCAAGUGGAGCGACGAACCAGGCUUCGGCCUGGGGCAAAGCCGCGAACGGGUGAGUAACACGUGGGUAACCUGCCCCGAUGACCGGGACAACCCGAGGAAACUCGGGCUAAUACCGGAUGUGCCUACGACCUCAAGGUCGCUGGGGAAAGG